RNAcentral lists this ribosomal RNA (468 nucleotides) under uncultured bacterium. RNAcentral's name for it is "partial 16S ribosomal RNA". It matches the Rfam family "Bacterial small subunit ribosomal RNA", at positions 28 to 507 of the family's 1533-position model. The record is from RNAcentral.
GACGAACGCUGGCGGCGUGCUUAACACAUGCAAGUCGAACGGAAAGGCCCUGCUUUUGUGGGGUGCUCGAGUGGCGAACGCGUGAGUAACACGUGAGUAACCUGCCCUUGACUUUGGAAUAACUUCAGGAAACUGGGGCUAAUACCGGAUAGGAGCUCCUGCUGCAUGGUGGGGGUUGGAAAGUUUCGGCGGUUGGGGAUGGACUCGCGGCUUAUCAGCUUGUUGGUGGGGUAGUGGCUUACCAAGGCUUUGACGGGUAGCCGGCCUGAGAGGGUGACCGGCCACAUUGGGACUGAGAUACGCCCCAGACUCCUACGGGAGGCAGCAGUGGGGAAUAUUGCACAAUGGGCGGAAGCCUGAUGCAGCAACGCCGCGUGCGGGAUGACGGCCUUCGGGUUGUAAACCGCUUUCGCCUGUGACGAAGCGUGAGUGACGGUAAUGGGUAAAGAAGCACCGGCUAACUACGUG